This 476-nucleotide ribosomal RNA is filed under the name uncultured bacterium. RNAcentral describes it as "partial 16S ribosomal RNA". It matches the Rfam family "Bacterial small subunit ribosomal RNA", at positions 28 to 506 of the family's 1533-position model. The record is from RNAcentral.
GAUGAACGCUGGCGGCGUGCUUAACACAUGCAAGUCGAACGAGAAAUGGAGACGGAAACCUUCGGGCGGAAGGCUUCAUUUCGAGUGGCGGACGGGUGAGUAACGCGUGGGUAACCUGCCUCAUACAGGGGGAUAACAGUUGGAAACGACUGUUAAUACCGCAUAAGACCACAGCACCGCAUGGUGCGGGGUAAAAACUCCGGUGGUAUGAGAUGGACCCGCGUUCGAUUAGCCAGUUGGCGGGGUAACGGCCCACCAAAGCGACGAUCGAUAGCCGAUCUGAGAGGAUGACCGGCCACAUUGGGACUGAGACACGGCCCAAACUCCUACGGGAGGCAGCAGUGGGGAAUAUUGCACAAUGGGGGAAACCCUGAUGCAGCGACGCCGCGUGAGUGAAGAAGUACUUCGGUAUGUAAAGCUCUAUCAGCAGGGAAGAAAAUGACGGUACCUGAGUAAGAAGCCCCGGCUAACUACGU